Molecule: ribosomal RNA, 437 nt
Filed under: uncultured bacterium
Lineage: Bacteria
Description: bacterial SSU rRNA
Rfam family: Bacterial small subunit ribosomal RNA
Source: RNAcentral
AUUGAACGCUGGCGGCAGGCCUAACACAUGCAAGUCGAGCGGUAGAGAGGUGCUUGCAUCUCUUGAGAGCGGCGGACGGGUGAGUAAUGCCUAGGAAUCUGCCUAGUGGUGGGGGAUAACGUUCGGAAACGGACGCUAAUACCGCAUACGUCCUACGGGAGAAAGCGGGGGAUCUUCGGACCUCGCGCCAUUAGAUGAGCCUAGGUCGGAUUAGCUAGUAGGUGAGGUAAUGGCUCACCUAGGCGACGAUCCGUAACUGGUCUGAGAGGAUGAUCAGUCACACUGGAACUGAGACACGGUCCAGACUCCUACGGGAGGCAGCAGUGAGGAAUAUUGGUCAAUGGACGCAAGUCUGAACCAGCCAUGCCGCGUGCAGGAUGACGGUCCUAUGGAUUGUAAACUGCUUUUGUACGAGAAGAAACAACAUUACGUGUAAU